Molecule: long non-coding RNA, 213 nt
Filed under: Mytilus galloprovincialis (Mediterranean mussel)
Lineage: Eukaryota; Metazoa; Mollusca; Bivalvia; Mytilida; Mytilidae
Source: RNAcentral
CGCAGAGGUAAAACCAUGCACAUUUGGGUUAUUGUACACGAAAUGCAUGCUACAAUUCAUUUUUGUUGAUUUUAGACCCUUUGGAACUCUAUGUGGGCUAUUUUUAGCAACUAGGCAAACAAUCCCCAAACUAGAUACACGGUUAGAUUCAGCAUGUCAACGAAUUCCAAAUAUCCAUAUUAAAGGACUUUUGUCUAUAAAUUUGGACCCCAC